Meriones unguiculatus (Mongolian gerbil) is the source of this 5773-nucleotide long non-coding RNA. RefSeq lists it as uncharacterized. Lineage: Eukaryota; Metazoa; Chordata; Mammalia; Rodentia; Muridae. The record is from RefSeq and is a predicted model, not a curated record. The transcript has 3 exons.
GAUUCAAGGCAGGCAGACCUUGCCAGAGCGCACACCCGGGCUCUCCGUGCGUAGCCUAACUCUCCCACGCUCCUGGGGAGGUGAGUUCAAGCGGGAGCUGCUGACCGGCCGGCAAAGCUGGGGUGUGCAGCGGGUUGGCCACAGCAACAGCUUCCCUCCCGCUUCCUGUGUUUGCAAUGAGCUCAGCAAGAAACGUCUGCGUGUCAAAACAUUUUUAGUUUUGUUUCCUCUUUGUAUGUGUGCGACUGUGUGCAUGUGUGAAUGUGUGUACCUGUGUGUGAGAGCAUGUGUGUGUGUGUAUGUGAUGCAUGUGGGAAAAUGUGUGUGUGAUGUGUGAGUGUGUGCAAGUGAAAGUGUGGUGUGUGUGAGUGUAUGUAUAUAUGUGCAUGCGUGUGUGUGUGUGUGUGUGUGUGUGUGUGUGUGUGUACUGGCAUGUGUGGAGACCGGAAGCCAACCUCGCUUGUUGGUUUUUCUUUUUUUCCUAUGUUGAUAAGACAUCUCAUCAGCCUGAGGUUCUCUGAUUAGCAUAACCUGGUAGAGCAACAAGCCCGAGCGAUCUGCUCAUCUGCUCCCACAGUGCCAGGCUGUUCGGAACCACACCCAGAUUGCAGCUGACUCAUGAACUCUGUUUAGUCAGCUCUCUGCAUCUGCCGGUUCCAAAUGCCCAGAGUUAACCAACCCUAAACAGCAGGUAUUCAAGAAAAACCCUGGGUCCGUCCUAAACGUGAACAGAGCUCCUCGCCGCUGCUCCCUUCGCAGAGCAGAGACAGUGCAGAGGAGCACCGAGCCAGCAGCGGCCACGAGGUAUCGGGUAGCAGACGUCAUCUGGGGGUGGGUGGCUUAAAUGUGCACAAGAGGGGGUGUGCGCUAUGCUCGAGGAACACGCGGAACCUGUCCCUUUGUGUCAAGAACUCGGGCAUCUGUGGAUCUGGGAAUGGAGACGAGAGCCUGGAGUCAGUUCUCUACAGAUCCCGGGAGGUGAUCACAGUGACUUCCAGACGGAUUUAGAAGAAUAAGAAAUGACAUAACGUGGCGUGUGCUGGGCUGGGACAGAACUGAAUCAAACGGAGCACACAGUGAGGAGAAGGACAGAGGAGGCAGGAAUUGAUUUUAACUUUCCUUCAGCUGUCAAGCCACCUCCUAAAUAGAUGAAGCUGUAAAUACAGGACAGAGAAUAGAUCACGCUGACGCUUCAGACACUGGUGUGCAGAACGGCACAACUCCAAAAAUCAGAAAAUGGAGUCAGGAGCCCCCAGUCAAUGGUUAACCUGCUGGGCCAAGGCAUUCAAAUCACCUAGGCCACUGUUUCUCAACCUUUCUUCCUGGUACUCGCAGUUCUACUUCUUUGCGUAGAACUGAGACUCAGCCAUGGGUGAUUCUCUCUUACUGUGAGGGUGGGAAGUCAGGGCUUGCAGCUGGAGAGCCAGGGAGGCCGCCGGCCACAGCUGGAGCCCGGAGGCAGAAUUCCCACACCAGCAACGGAACGCAUUCUGCUUUACUCAAGGAUCGCAGGCAUCUGUGUUAGCUUAACAUCACCUUCACAGAAACAUCUAGGCUGACGUUUGUCCAAGCACGCCCUGGCCAAGCUGACAGGUGAAAUUAACCAUCACACAUACUACCUUCCUUAGUUUCAUUCCUACAGCGGUGAGAAAAUACACUAUCAAGAAGCCACAGAGGGGAAGGGUUUAUUUGAUUCCCAUGUCCAGGCUGCAGUCCAUUAUUUCAGGGAAGCGAAGGAAGGAACUCAAGCAGCUAGUCACACAACAGCCACAGUCAAGAGCAGAAAGAAGAUGCACCAUCUGCCUUGCCUAGUUUUUCUAAUUUCUUAAAUAUUUUUGUUUAUUCAUUUAUUCAUUCAUUUACUCAUUCAUGCCUGCUGGCUUCACUCUUUCAAAGUUCAGGGCCCAGACUAGGGAAUGAUGCUGCCCACACUGGGCAGGAUCCUCCUACAUCAAUCGGCAAUCCAGACAACUCGCCCCAGAUGUGCCUACAGAUGAACUGAACUGGAUAACUUCUCACUGAGACUCUCUCUUCCCAGAUGCCUAACCCUGGAGGCUGGGGGUUAAGUUUGUCUCCAUCCACACUGCCAUCGCCCUGGUCCGGGGAUGGAGGACACUGUAGAAAGCUGGGAGGACCACGAUGGUUACUUUGACAAUGGGGUGAGUGCUACCAGCAUUUGAUGAGCAGAUGAGCACUCUGUGAUCUUACCAUGUCUUCUAUGACAAAGACAUGGACAGGUCUGUGAGGGUGAACCCCCUUGUAGUUACUCAAGCUUAGAGCCCGUUUCUGGUUUUUGGUGCUGGACUAUAUUGUCAUAUAGCAACGUAACAAUGUACACACGUACCCGAGUUCAUGUCUCUGUCUCAGCACCAAAAGUGGUUUUCCCUAAGGAGGACUCUGCGUGUAGUUCACACCCACCACCUCCUUCCAGCCCUGACUCCAUCAUUACCUGAUAGCAGACCCCCACCCCCCUCAUUGCUUGGGCCAGGACUCCCAUGUUGUCACAGCAGGCCCACCCCGGCUGCGGUGGACCUCCCGCAUUCAUCGUGAACCCCUCAACACAAACUAACUCCUAUUCCUUUUCUGACUCUAUUAGCUCACCUUUCUUCCCUUCCUAGUUCCCAUCCUCGGGGGAAAGCCCUUGCUCCCUGAUCAAUCAAUUAAUCGGGACUUUGAACCCAAAACUGUCAUUUGCAAGCAAAUGCAACCCUCUCUUUUCCUGCCUAAGAGAUAAACAAAGAAUCUGGACAGCACAAAAUGGUCCUGGAGAUGGUCCAUAUACUCCGAUACUCAGAGAAGUCACGAGGAGCCCAUGUCUAGGUUCUGGUACUGCAGCUCCCUUGGGUCAUUGGAGCUAGCGCUAUGGCCUUGCAGUUUUGCAGGGAUUCCACAAAGCCCUCUGCUUCUGCAGGCCCUGAAUCCACAAACUCAGCCAACCUUAUAUUUAAAAUGUUCAGGGAGAAGAUAGAGGAGACGGUACUGUGGAUAAAGCAUUUGCCAUGCAAGCAUUAGGACCAGAAAACACCCUCCCAGGUCGUGAGGGAUGGGCCUUCGAAGGCGAUCGCCCAGCUCUGGUUCCGAUCAAGCUUCUUGGCUCCUGCCAGAUAAGGAUUCUCCCCUAUUCACUCCUGCUGUCAUCAGCACUGCUGCGUCUCCCCCAGAUGAGGAGCUCACAUCUCCCUGAGAACUGUGGUGUCUCCCUUUAGACACCUGCCUGUUGUGAGGAGAUGGCUCCAUCAGUCAAGGGCCUGCCCUACAAGCAUUAGGAACUGAGUUAAAUCCUAGAACCCAUGUACAGUUGUGGAUGUGGUGGUACGUACUUGUAACCCUGACCCUGGGGAAGCAGACACAGGACAAUCACGGAGGCUGGCUGGCUAGCCCUUCUAGCCUUGUUGGUGACUUCCAGACCGGUGAGGGAGGCCCUGUCACAAAGGACAUAUCCAAAGGAUGGCAGAGAAUGACACCCAGGGUUGUCUUCUGGCCUCUACUCACAUAUUCACAUACAUACAUACAUGUGUGCGCUCAUACACACAUGAACACGCAGAUAAAUAAGUAGGCAAUUGAAAAAGAAUUUACAGUAUUAUGUAGAAAGGUGGAGUACCACAGAUGAGAGGAAAAGAGGAAGGAGAAGUUUCCCAGGGGAAGCAGAGCCAUCGUCCUCCUGCAAAGACACUGUUUAUAGUCUCUGAACAUAAGGGCAACCCUGUAAGCUCUUAUGUUGAUCUGCUCUGGAGGGGAGCUGGUUCAGCGAGAAGAGGAUGGCUGGCCGGUGAGGAUACAGAGCCCCAGAGGCUAGGACUGACUUUGAAGAACAGCGAAAGAAGGAAAUGAGUCAUUUGAAAACUCUGAGGUGGGGAAAGGUCAUGUGGAAAGCACUCGGGGUGAGGUUGGGGCAAUGGUGGCAGCUGCCUGUUGCUUGGCCAGGCACGGCGGAGAGCUCUGCUCGCCACAAUCUCGACACCCCGUGAACAGACCUCUGCAGCACUUGCUCUACUUCCUCUAUCUGCUGGGUCGAGGCCGCCUGCGGUCAAGUGGGGUUUGCAAUUCACAGCCGAGAGACUGAGGAACUGGCCCGCAGGCGCCUCACACGUGCAGGGUUGAGGGAAGUCUGUGGCCCACCAGAGGCCCAGGCAUCUGGAACACCAGCCAGGACUGGCCACGAGAAUGCUACAGUCCAGAAGUUGGUCUCAAAGGGAGCUUUGCCUCAAGCGCAUUCACACCAGACCCAGGUCUCCAGAACACAUUCUGUGGCUCUCUCCCCUGCCCUGAGGAAGAGGAAGCUGCUGGGUCUGAGGUUUCGUGAACAGAAGGACCAGACCUAUAUUGCUGCAGCUCAGAGAAUUUCACUGAAUUCCCUUCUUCUGUGAAGCCUCUGACACACACACACAUGCAUUUCAUACCAAGAAGGUUCUCUCUCCACAAACCUCCUUCACAAUUCUUGCCACAGGCCUUCUUUUCUGCAGGAAACCACUGCCACACACUUCCUGGAAAAAGCAGAAGCUGUCACUGGGGACUCUCUCACCUGCCUCUUCCAGAUACACAUGGUGCCUAUCUUCAUUUCCUCCCUUAAAAAGCAUGCCAACCAAGUCCCUGCUUCUACGGAGAGUCAGCCCUUCUCUGCAUCCCCGGACUCUCCUCACCUAAUCCCAACUACUUCAGUCUCGUCUGUGUCUCUCUUUAUACACACACCCCUCUCCCUAGGGUCAUUCUCAAAAGACUAUGGCCGUGUCCAACAACCUGCCAUCUUCAAAACAUCACCUUAGCAGUGACAUGUCUUUUUUAAUGGCUGUUGUGUGACAGACUUUUCCUGGGGACAUGCAACACACAUGUCUACUCAUCUCGAUGGGCAGCCCGUGACAGACUAAAGUAGAAAUGUCUCCAGAGUCCACCAGUGAGCUUUACCAGGGUCACUCACAGGAACAGAAGUGACCCAAACACAACACCAAAGCCCACCCCAGCACGGUGAGAGCUCGCAGAAGCUGGAGCAUGCUGUGCAGGCUGCAGGCAGCUCAACAGGUUGGAAGGUGUCCUUUCUAAGUGGUUCAGUUGAUCAGAGCCCCUUCCAAGCAGCUUGGCUGGGUUCUGCUUCUUCCAGGCUGCUCUGCUGGUCUUGGAGUUUCUUUGCGGUUUGGUUCCCCUGAGAGUUGUUUAUUUGUUUGUUUGUUUUACAGUCUUCACUGUUUACUCUUGGGAUGGAGGAGCUUAGUGAAUCUUGUCAGCUUCAGGAACUUCCUGAAGACAUUUUGAGUUGUUUGCUUUCUAUCUUAAGGAGCUUCCCUGGAGGAUGCCAUGUUUCAAUCUGGAAGGAAAUUGCCACACAAAGGUAGCUAAAACCCAACACUGAUAAUAAGUGCUCCCAAGGAUGUGGGACACAGGAGCGUUCAUUCAUUGCUGGUGGGAGUACAAAAUGACACUGUAUUAUAACAUGUCUAUGUCAUAACAUGCAACCAAGUAGUCAUCAAAGUGAAUCAAAAACUCGUAUCUAUGGGCUGGAGGGAUGGCUCAGUGAUCGCAUAGGACCUGGCUUGGGUUCCUGGAACGCACACGGUGCCUCACAACCCUCCUUGACUGCAGUUGCAGGGGAUCUAAUGCUCUCUUCUGACUUCUGUUGUCAUUCCAUACAGGUGGCACACAUACAUCCGUGCAGGCAACACACCCCUCUUACAAAGUGAAGUAAAUCUAAAAACAAUUUAAGCAGAUGUUUUUAACUUAAAAGUCCAUUUUUUUCCUUUCAAGGAUCAUAGUUGCAUCUAAUAAAAUUUCACCCAACCCA